This 301-nucleotide ribosomal RNA is filed under the name uncultured bacterium. RNAcentral's name for it is "partial 16S ribosomal RNA". It matches the Rfam family "Bacterial small subunit ribosomal RNA", at positions 509 to 808 of the family's 1533-position model. The record is from RNAcentral.
CAGAGCCGCGGGAAAACGGAGGGUGCAAGCGUUAAUCGGAAUUACUGGGCGUAAAGCGCACGCAGGCGGUCUGUCAAGUCAGAUGUGAAAUCCCCGGGCUUAACCUGGGAACUGCAUUUGAAACUGGCAGGCUAGAGUCUUGUAGAGGGGGGUAGAAUUCCAGGUGUAGCGGUGAAAUGCGUAGAGAUCUGGAGGAAUACCGGUGGCGAAGGCGGCCCCCUGGACAAAGACUGACGCUCAGGUGCGAAAGCGUGGGGAGCAAACAGGAUCAGAUACCCCUGUAGUCCCUGUCUCUUAUACA